RNAcentral lists this ribosomal RNA (440 nucleotides) under uncultured bacterium. Its description in RNAcentral is "bacterial SSU rRNA". It matches the Rfam family "Bacterial small subunit ribosomal RNA", at positions 338 to 795 of the family's 1533-position model. The record is from RNAcentral.
CCUACGGGAUGCAGCAGUGGGGAAUCUUAGACAAUGGGCGCAAGCCUGAUCUAGCCAUGCCGCGUGGGUGAUGAAGGCCUUAGGGUCGUAAAGCCCUUUCGCCGGGGAAGAUAAUGACGGUACCCGGUAAAGAAACCCCGGCUAACUCCGUGCCAGCAGCCGCGGUAAUACGGAGGGGGUUAGCGUUGUUCGGAAUGACUGGGCGUAAAGCGCGCGUAGGCGGAUCAUCAAGUCGGGGGUGAAAUCCCGGGGCUCAACCCCGGAAUGGCCUUCGAGACUGGUGGUCUUGAGUUCGAGAGAGGUGAGUGGAAUUCCGAGUGUAGAGGUGAAAUUCGUAGAUAUUCGGAGGAACACCAGUGGCGAAGGCGGCUCACUGGCUCGACACUGACGCUGAGGUGCGAAAGCGUGGGGAGCAAACAGGAUUAGAUACCCGCGUAGUC